This 1157-nucleotide ribosomal RNA is filed under the name uncultured bacterium. RNAcentral's name for it is "bacterial SSU rRNA". It matches the Rfam family "Bacterial small subunit ribosomal RNA", at positions 96 to 1237 of the family's 1533-position model. The record is from RNAcentral.
CGGCGCACGGGUGAGUAACACGUGGGUAAUCUACCUCGAGGAUUGGAAUAACAUGUCGAAAGACGUGCUAAUGCCAAGUAAGUUUUUCGAAUCGUAAUGAUUUGAUCUAGAAAGGUGGCGCAAGCUACCGCCUUGAGAUGAGCCUGCGCUCCAUUAGCUAGUUGGUGAGGUAAAAGCUUACCAAGGCUACGAUGGAUAGCUGGUCUGAGAGGAUGACCAGCCACACUGGAACUGAAACACGGUCCAGACUCCUACGGGAGGCAGCAGUAGGGAAUAUUGCGCAAUGGGGGAAACCCUGACGCAGCCACGCCGUGUGAGUGAGGAAGGCCUUCGGGUCGUAAAGCUCUGUCAUUUGGGAAGAAACUCCAUCCGGGGAAAGUUCGGGUGGAUUGACGGUACCAAAGAAGGAAGCACCGGCUAACUCUGUGCCAGCAGCCGCGGUAAUACAGAGGGUGCAAGCGUUGUACGGAAUUACUGGGCGUAAAGCGUCUGUAGGCGGUGCUGAGAGUCCUAGGUGAAAUCCCCGAGCUUAACUCGGGAACUGCCUCGGAGACCUCAGUACUUGAGUACGAAAGGGGUUGCUGGAAUUCCAUGUGUAGCGGUGAAAUGCGUAGAUAUAUGGAGGAACACCUGUGGCGAAGGCGGGCAACUGGUUCGAGACUGACGCUGAGAGACGAAAGCGUGGGGAGCAAACAGGAUUAGAUACCCUGGUAGUCCACGCCGUAAACGAUGCAUACAAGUCGUAGCUGGGAUUGACUCCGGCUGUGACGAAGCUAACGCAAGUAGUAUGCCGCCUGGGGAGUACGGUCGCAAGACUAAAACUCAAAGGAAUUGANGNGGGCCCGCACAAGCGGNNNNUUAUGUGGUUUAAUUCGAAGCAACGCGAAGAACCUUACCUGGAUUUGACAUCCUACGACCGCUGGAGAAAUCUAGUUUUGUCGCAAGACACGUAGAGACAGGUGCUGCAUGGCUGUCGUCAGCUCGUGUUGUGAAAUGUUGGGUUAAGUCCCGCAACGAGCGCAACCCCUGUGAUUAGUUGCCAGCAUUAAGUUGGGCACUCUAAUCAGACUGCCAGCGUUAAGCUGGAGGAAGGUGGGGACGACGUCAAGUCCUCAUGGCCCUUACAUCCAGGGCUACACACGUAAUACGAUGGGUAG